UGGGGAAUAUUGCACAAUGGGCGCAAGCCUGAUGCAGCCAUGCCGCGUGUGUGAAGAAGGCCUUCGGGUUGUAAAGCACUUUCAGCGAGGAGGAAGGUGGUGAGCUUAAUACGCUCAUCAAUUGACGUUACUCGCAGAAGAAGCACCGGCUAACUCCGUGCCAGCAGCCGCGGUAAUACGGAGGGUGCAAGCGUUAAUCGGAAUUACUGGGCGUAAAGCGCACGCAGGCGGUUUGUUAAGUCAGAUGUGAAAUCCCCGGGCUCAACCUGGGAACUGCAUUUGAAACUGGCAAGCUAGAGUCUCGUAGAGGGGGGUAGAAUUCCAGGUGUAGCGGUGAAAUGCGUAGAGAUCUGGAGGAAUACCGGUGGCGAAGGCGGCCCCCCUGGACGAAGACUGACGCUCAGGUGCGAAAGCGUGGGGAGCAAAACAGGAUUAGAUACCCUGGUAGUCCACGCUGUAAAACGAUGUCGAUUUUGGAGGUUGUGCCCUUGAGGCGUGGNUUCCGGAGCUAACGNGUUAAAUCGACCGCCUGGGGAGUACGGCCNCAAGGUUAAAACUUAAAUGAAUUGC
RNAcentral lists this ribosomal RNA (570 nucleotides) under uncultured bacterium. RNAcentral's name for it is "partial 16S ribosomal RNA". It matches the Rfam family "Bacterial small subunit ribosomal RNA", at positions 355 to 913 of the family's 1533-position model. The record is from RNAcentral.